CAAACUGCCCUCCUGUCCCCGAUGCCUGACCAGCCAAACUGGGCCUCAUGUUCCCAUGAAAAAAGCACACCCUCCUGUAUGAGGAUCAGAGGGCAUGGGGUGGGAUUGAAGGCUGGGGCCCAGGAAUGGCCCCACAGCACUGUUCGGCCAAAUCUGGACAAAUUGGUCCAUAGGAGGCACAGAAAACGGGGUCUCUGCCAGGAAGCACCCCACUGGCCUCAGACUGCAGAGACAGCACCCAGGUUGAGGGCUGGAGCUUCUGGGCUGGCUGUGUUUGGCUAUAUGUGAUGGGGCUGUACCCCAGACAUGGCCCAGGAAAGCCACCUGCUAUCGGAGGACCUCCCUGCUCAUGGGAAAGGGGAGGCUAAGCCCAGAGCCAGCAGCAGGCAUGGGAGGCAAGCAGCCCCAGGGCAUCUGUACAGGGCCUGGGCUGGCUGGAGGACGCUAGGCUCAGGAGGUGGGCAGGACCAAGCCCACAGCCCCACCUGCAGCCAGGCCCAUUGAGUCAGCAGCCCUCCUGCACCAAGGUUCCUGGCCCCGCACCCAACCUCAGGCGAGGCCCUCUCUCCUUGGGCGUGCACAGGCACCUCCACCUCAGGAUGUGUGGGGAGCUCACUACCCCAUUUGACAAAUGCCCUCAAAGCAAACACACUUUCCCACACAGAGUUGCUUUGAUUAAAAACAAAACCACCACCAGUAAAAACAGCACGUGAGAGCCUGAAACAAAAAAACAAGUAUCAGACCAGCUCUGGACGCUUUCAACACCAACUCUGAGAAAAGGAGAACAAAAAGAGAAGAGAUAAUUACUGAAAUAAGC
This 817-nucleotide long non-coding RNA is filed under the name Marmota monax (woodchuck). The record is from RNAcentral. Lineage: Eukaryota; Metazoa; Chordata; Mammalia; Rodentia; Sciuridae.